RNAcentral lists this ribosomal RNA (497 nucleotides) under uncultured bacterium. RNAcentral describes it as "partial 16S ribosomal RNA". It matches the Rfam family "Bacterial small subunit ribosomal RNA", at positions 28 to 507 of the family's 1533-position model. The record is from RNAcentral.
GACGAACGCUGGCGGCGUGCCUAAUACAUGCAAGUAGAACGCUGAAGCUUGGUGCUUGCACCGAGCGGAUGAGUUGCGAACGGGUGAGUAACGCGUAGGUAACCUGCCUGGUAGCGGGGGAUAACUAUUGGAAACGAUAGCUAAUACCGCAUAACAGUAGAUAUCGCAUGAUAGCUACUUGAAAGGUGCAAAUGCACCACUACCAGAUGGACCUGCGUUGUAUUAGCUAGUUGGUGAGGUAACGGCUCACCAAGGCAACGAUACAUAGCCGACCUGAGGGGGUGAUCGGCCACACUGGGACUGAGACACGGCCCAGACUCCUACGGGAGGCAGCAGUAGGGAAUCUUCGGCAAUGGACGGAAGUCUGACCGAGCAACGCCGCGUGAGUGAAGAAGGGUUUCGGAUCGUAAAGCUCUGUUGUAAGAGAAGAACGAGUGUGAGAGUGGAAAGUUCACACUGUGACGGUAUCUUACCAGAAAGGGACGGCUAACUACGUG